CCUGGGGCCCCAUCUGGGUGGUCCAGGAAGUUGGUGUCACCCCUGACCACCCUUGGAACACACACACACACACACACACACACACACACCCCUGCAUCUGUGCAGAUGGGUGAAGGACAAGGACUCCCUCCUCCCUGGCCACUGGUCCAAGCAGCGUCAGAGCAGCGCGUACCCCUCUGCCGCCAGCCACUGGGCAGGGACUCACCCCCAGGGAACUACUGGAGCGUCGGCUGGAGUGAGUGCUAGGACGACCUCUGGCCUGCUGCGGCUGAGGCACACCCUUAGCCCCUCACCGGAGGAUUCACUGCAGGGACUCCAGCAGAAGCCUCGCCCCCAACCCUGCCCUCCAUCUCUUACAGCCUUUCAGCACAAGAACCCGGAGGAAACACGCAGACCUGGCUUGUGGGAGAGAAAUAGCCUCGGUUCACACUAGGUUCUAGGGAGCUGCUCCCUCCAGGACAGCUGAGGGUGGGAGAGGGCUUCCCUGUGGCACAGGAUGGAAUUAAUGAGAGCCUACCCCAGGCUUCCCCGUGGUCUGACCUGCCCACGUGAGCUGAAUUGGAAAGGCAGCCUGAUCCUGUCAGUGUGUACCUUUGAGCAGGGAGGACAUCUUUUGGGAUCCUGGGGACCCCUCCUCACACUUACUAAUCAAGAGCUCUGGUGAUGAGCACCCCAGCCCAUCUGUCAUAAAUAUCAAAUCGCCAAAAACCUACCCACUGUGCCUCCCCCACGCACACACACACACAGGCAUGUCAUUGCAUGCCCCGUCCACGUGCAAAAUAAACCAGCUAAUGUUUCUAGAAGGCAGCACUGUGCUACUGCUGCAGCUCCUAGGCAGGUGCUUGCUUUGCAUGCCUGAAGCCCCUGGUUUACCGAGCAAAACCAAAACCAAGGAAAAGACAAUUGAUGGGAGGUGUUUUCCUCCUACCACGAUUGGGUCUUGGGAGUCAAACUCAAGAUGUCAGGCUUGGUGGCAAGCCCCUUACCUGCUGGGCCCUCUCACUGACCCUAGCAACAAAAGUAAACUUAGAUUUAUUAUUUUA
Molecule: long non-coding RNA, 1043 nt
Organism: Grammomys surdaster
Lineage: Eukaryota; Metazoa; Chordata; Mammalia; Rodentia; Muridae
Exons: 2
Source: RefSeq, a predicted model, not a curated record